UUAGUAUAGAAUAAAAAAGAAAAUAACAUAAUUAUUAAUAUAUAAAAAAUACAAAUAUAUUUUGCCCCGGCGACCGAGACUUAUCUCUCGAGCGCAAAAGCGUUAAGUUAAAAUGCAGGAAUAAAUAUGUUUAACGAUUAAUUAGAAAUGCACGACUCGGAAUGAAUAAUUCGUGUAAUUUCUAAUCGGUUGAUGGCAUCGUGGAACGGAAGACCUCGUUUCAAUAACACGUUUAGAAGAAUCUCGAUAAAAUUUAUAUAGCAUUAACACUGGUAUUAAAAGAGUGUGUAAAUUUAAUCAACGCUUAAACUCCCGGAUAUUUCGACCAUUAUUAUCGAUAAUAACAAUACGUUGCUCGAUUAAAAUAUUUUACAAAAUCGUCGCUCAUUUCUUCCACGUAUUUUUAAUAUAUUGUCGUAUAAUACACUUUCACCAAUAGUUCAAUUACUAACCUUACUUUCUGGACAUCGAAUCUCGAAGAAAAAUCACUGAGGAAUCACGCGAUUUUCGUAUUCGUGACCGAGCGAGGAUUCGACGAGAGAUGCAUGCACACGCGUUCGAGCGAAUCGAGCAUGAAUUUUCGAUUCCUUUACUUCGAGUGAAUCUGUAUCGAUCGGUGGUCGUGGGCAUCAUCCGCUUACAGAAUCGAUUAUUUGUUUACCCGUUAAGUGGGUAAGUAAUGUACCUUAAUGGCGCGUUCACAGGCUGUGGGGCAUCGAUUGGAAUCGAACACGGUGCCCGAGUAUCGACUAUGGUGAUAAAUGCAACUUGACGCGUCGACGAAACUCCAAAAGAGUAUUUGCCUAUUUCUCGAAUGCAGAUUCGCAGUAAAAUAUCGAUUAAUUCGUUAUCUUUCGAUGAAAAUGAACGAGAUCGAGGAGAAAUUAAUCAAUCGUGCACGACAACUUCCUAACCUUUCUAUUCGAUUGUACGUAGAGUAAUUCCAUUUUCUCACACGAGUGUCGCUAGUCGAACAUUUUCAUCCAGCCAACUUCAUUCCAAAGCUGUAGUGUAGUUAUUAUAUAUUUUUAGAGUUGGUAUUUCAUGGUUCAUUUAUACAAGUAAAAUUCGUUCGAUUCUGCGCAGUCGCGUUUCUCGUGCGUGACAGCGAAGGUGCGAGGUUAAGAGAAGCAUUUUCGACGUACUUCACUUUUUUAUUAUAUCGAAAAGAAUUAUUUUGAAGAAGACGAGAUCAUUCCUAUUAUUACGUGAACACAAUAAAUAUGAAGAAAGGAAGCCUUCAAUAUUUAUUACAAUUAAAAAUCUACCUUUGUAAAGAGAGAGAGAGAGAGAGAGAGAGAAACAUUUUGAUAGGAAUAAAAUAAAUGUUUCCAAAAUUCCAGAAUUGUUUUGAAGAAGACGAAAUCAUUCUAGGUUCUUAUUAUCUGAAUACAAUAAGUAAGAGAAAGGAAGGUAAUUAUUUUGAAGAAGACGAAAUCAUUCCUAUUAUUACGUGAACACAAUAAAUAUGGAGAAAGGAAGCCUUCAUUAUUUAUUACAUUUAAAAAUCUACCUUUGUAAAGAGAGAGAGAGAGAACACUUUGAUCAGGAAUAAAAUAAAUGUUUCCAAAAUUCCAGAAUUAUUUUGAAGAAAAUGAAAUCAUUCCUAUGUUCUAUUGUUAUGUGAAUACAAUAAGCAUGAAGAAAUGAAGCCUUUAGUAUUUAUUAUCAAUUAAAAAUCUGUCUUUGAAGAGAGAAAGAGAGAGAGAGAGAGAGAGAGAGAGAGAGAGAGAGAUACGUGCGAUAUUAUUCGUUCCAUUGUCGAGAGAAAUGCUUUUUCGUUUAUAUCGAGCUUAUAAUAAUAACAACUAGUGAUUAAUCAGCUUACGAUUUGACGAUACACCUAUCGAUUUUAUCGUUUUGAUGAUACAGUUAAUUAUGUACGAGGCGAUAAUUAAUCCUAGUUAAUACUCCUUUUGUCUUCGAACGAUGAGAUUGAACUGUGAAUGAAGAAAAUUUGAGAAAAAUUCGAGGAGAAUAAUUCUAACGUUUUACGUAUCUCGUGAAAUAUAUACUCGUAAAUAUUAGGCGAGUUGAUUGUGUAGAUUGCGGGCAAUGUUUGCACGUUUAAUCGUUUCGUUCUAAUUUUCGCGAUCGAUCGUAUUAUUCCAUUAAACGCUGUGUAGAAACAGAAAUUAAAUUGGAUUUUUUAUUAAGUAAGCAGAUUUAUUUUCGAUUACCAACAACAAUUAUACAUCGAACGAUGUAUGAUGUGGAAAAGAAAAGGAUUAAAAUAAUAAUAAUAAUAAUUGCGGAAGAAUAAUUAUAUAUUGCAUUAUAUUUUAAGUCUGUUUGGAAUUUUAAUAAAGAUCACAUCGCGAGAAGUUACAUCGAUUAUCAGAUUCGAGGCAAGGUUAAAGGAAAGGCGAAGAUAUCUUUCCAGUCUGUGACACAAAGUUGAAGAACACCCCGCUCGAGUGGAAGAUCGAGAAAGGGACGACGGGUAUUGUGUUGUAAAUGCGACGUGACUUUGUCCGGGACCGUAGCUUGAUUUGAAUGUGCCAUUCAGGAACUUGGACGGUCGAGCUCGUUGUUGCAUCGGAGAGAGAAAGAGAGAGAGAGAGAGAGUAGGAUUAUUGGCACAUGGACUACAUUUUCGUCAAACGCACGCACGUUAAGCGAUCUAGCGCACAUUCAAAGAUAGAAACGUUUGUGUUUCAAAUGCGAAUUCAUAUGCAAAUGCGUGUCAGGUUGAAAGCAACGAAUGUCCGUCUAGCAAAAAGAAUGUCUAUAACGAAACGUGCGAUCGAUUGGACAAUCGAAUAUUUGGAGAAUGAAAAAAAAUUUGCAUCCUCACUUGCAACUGAAUUCACGAUGCUAGUUCGAAUUUAAGAAGCGGAUGAGCGAUUCUUUCUCGAAUUAAAAUCUUCUCCGUUCUAUUUCUGUUUCGAGAGAAGAGAGAAAAAGAGUGUCUAAAUUUAAAGCGUAAACAAAGACUCGCUUUCCUGAAUGUCAAUAGCACACUGCGCACCGAGCUCGUAACUCGGAAACGCGAGCCUCGGGACGAGUCGGAAGAAUUCGGAGAGAAUCGGCAAUAUUUCGGAAAUACUCGGCUGUAAUCGGGCGCGAUCGGCUAAAGGGCAAUCGAAGGAGCAAAAAGAGAUGGUAAACUACUUGCGAAUGGGUAAUACCAUUCGCGCGAAAUUUCAUGCGAUUCGGGAUCGAAAAUUAUUACAAAAACUCGAUAAUGUUUAUCGCCGAUAUAUUCGAAUCAUAACUGUUUACGAAACGUUCCAUGAUUACAAAUGCGGUGAACGUGAAAUGCAAAUAGAUCGAAUGUGAUUUUUUGUGCGCAAUUGGCCCGAUUCAUGGAAGCAAACAGCACGAUGCUUGCGCCCAGAGUCAAUUUGUUCGGUGUGCGUAAAUAUGUAAUCGGUUCUCGUACACUAUUGCGCCCGUCGAGCAUAUAUAUAUACACGUAUAUACGUAUAUGAUCAUUCGCCUCCGAAUACAGUGGCGUCCAAUUCCAUCGUUCACUUACGGCAUAUCGAUACGCUCUCUUCUGUUCUACGUAUAUACGAAACGCAUAUAAAUAUCGUAGAGGAGGAAAGAGCGCGACGACAACGACGUUACAUUUUUACCCGUGUUUAUCUUUGCUCGCGGUAAACGUAGACGAGGAAAGAGGGAAGGGGGGAGGGGAGGAGGAUAUAAAUUCCCUUUAUCGAUUUCGACCGUUCGUUUCGAUAAUUUUAAUCGGCCGGCCAAAUCUCAUGAAUCGAUAAUGAAAAUUAAAGGUUAAAUCUCGU
This 3746-nucleotide long non-coding RNA is filed under the name Apis mellifera (honey bee). RNAcentral describes it as "uncharacterized LOC102656745". Lineage: Eukaryota; Metazoa; Arthropoda; Insecta; Hymenoptera; Apidae. The record is from RNAcentral.